Molecule: long non-coding RNA, 600 nt
Organism: Oncorhynchus kisutch (coho salmon)
Lineage: Eukaryota; Metazoa; Chordata; Actinopteri; Salmoniformes; Salmonidae
Exons: 3
Source: RefSeq, a predicted model, not a curated record
UAGAUAAAGAAAUUCGCCUACAAACCCCAACAUCAGCCACUAUUGCAGUAUUUGCAUUCUCGGACAUGUGACUUUACAACAAGCUGAAGAGAAAUGGCUGCGUACUUUACCAGGCAUGUCUGCGCAACGCUGCUUCGCAGCUCUGGGCUUGGAUUCGAUGCUGGCAAUUGUGGUGACGUGUACUAGCGUGCGCAGGCCCUGCACGAGUGCAGAGACGCAACGCAGACGCUGCCCAGACUGCCCUGAAGAGGGCGCUGCUGCUCUGUCUGACAUUCUCCUCAACAGAACCACAUUCUGGAUAGCAUCAUCCACAUUAGGAAGAUGACAUCUCUGAUGGAAGGAGCGAGGACACUCAUCACAGCAUAUCAAGCUACCCUGGCUUCUACAGAUGAAGCAGUCGUCAUCGUUAUCCUGAUCAUGAUGCCAAGACAGAGAAGAGAGGAAGGUGACUGGGAGCUGGGUCUUGUAGAUGGGCCAGGUCCAGAUGUCAUCUUUCUCCCCCUUCCUGGAAGCAAAACCUGCAUGGGGACAAAUUCCAGACAAACAUUAAGAUGUGACUUGAAAUUUAAAAUAAAAAUAUUUUCCCCCUAAAAAAGGUUA